This 292-nucleotide ribosomal RNA is filed under the name uncultured bacterium. Its description in RNAcentral is "partial 16S ribosomal RNA". The record is from RNAcentral. RNAcentral also lists the same sequence under 1 other name.
GGACUACUGGGGUUUCUAAUCCCGUUUGCUCCCCCAGCUUUCGUGCCUCAGCGUCAGUAACUUACUAGGAACUCGCUUUCGCCACUGGUCUUCCUUACGAUAUCUACGCAUUUCACUGCUACACCGUAAAUUCCAGUUCCUUCUCAAGUACUCUAGCGAAGCAGUAUCAAAUGCAGUUCCUGGGUUAAGCCCAGGAAUUUCACAUCUAACUUACUCCGCCGCCUACGCACCCUUUACGCCCAAUAAAUCCGAACAACGCUCGGGACCUCUGUAUUACCGCGGCUGCUGGCAC